This 253-nucleotide ribosomal RNA is filed under the name uncultured bacterium. Its description in RNAcentral is "partial 16S ribosomal RNA". It matches the Rfam family "Bacterial small subunit ribosomal RNA", at positions 524 to 776 of the family's 1533-position model. The record is from RNAcentral.
UACAGAGACUGCAAGCGUUAUUCGGAUUCACUGGGCUUAAAGGGUGCGUAGGCGGCGCAGUAAGUUGGGUGUGAAAUCCCUCGGCUUAACCGAGGAAUUGCGCCCAAAACUACUGUGCUCGAGGGAGGUAGAGGUGAGCGGAACUUAGGGUGGAGCGGUGAAAUGCGUUGAUAUCCUAAGGAACACCGGUGGCGAAAGCGGCUCACUGGACCUCUUCUGACGCUGAGGCACGAAAGCUAGGGUAGCAAACGGG